Molecule: ribosomal RNA, 679 nt
Filed under: uncultured Bacteroidales bacterium
Lineage: Bacteria; Pseudomonadati; Bacteroidota; Bacteroidia; Bacteroidales
Description: bacterial SSU rRNA
Rfam family: Bacterial small subunit ribosomal RNA
Source: RNAcentral
UUAGCUUGCUAAGGCUGAUGGCGACCGGCGCACGGGUGAGUAACACGUAUCCAACCUGCCGUCUACUCUUGGCCAGCCUUCUGAAAGGAAGAUUAAUCCAGGAUGGGAUCAUGAGUUCACAUGUCCGCAUGAUUAAAGGUAUUUUCCGGUAGACGAUGGGGAUGCGUUCCAUUAGAUAGUAGGCGGGGUAACGGCCCACCUAGUCAACGAUGGAUAGGGGUUCUGAGAGGAAGGUCCCCCACAUUGGAACUGAGACACGGUCCAAACUCCUACGGGAGGCAGCAGUGAGGAAUAUUGGUCAAUGGGCGAUGGCCUGAACCAGCCAAGUAGCGUGAAGGAUGACUGCCCUAUGGGUUGUAAACUUCUUUUAUAAAGGAAUAAAGUCGGGUAUGCAUACCCGUUUGCAUGUACUUUAUGAAUAAGGAUCGGCUAACUCCGUGCCAGCAGCCGCGGUAAUACGGAGGAUCCGAGCGUUAUCCGGAUUUAUUGGGUUUAAAGGGAGCGUAGAUGGAUGUUUAAGUCAGUUGUGAAAGUUUGCGGCUCAACCGUAAAAUUGCAGUUGAUACUGGAUGUCUUGAGUGCAGUUGAGGCAGGCGGAAUUCGUGGUGUAGCGGUGAAAUGCUUAGAUAUCACGAAGAACUCCGAUUGCGAAGGCAGCCUGCUAAGCUGCAACUGACAU